GGGCUCAUAGCUCAGUUGGUUAGAGUGUCUCCUUGACAUGGAGAAGGUCGGUGGUUCGAGUCCACUUGAGCCCACCA
Molecule: transfer RNA, 77 nt
Filed under: Candidatus Omnitrophota bacterium
Lineage: Bacteria; Pseudomonadati; Candidatus Omnitrophota
Description: tRNA-Val
Rfam family: tRNA
About the family: Transfer RNA (tRNA) molecules are approximately 80 nucleotides in length. Their secondary structure includes four short double-helical elements and three loops (D, anti-codon, and T loops).
Source: RNAcentral